RNAcentral lists this transfer RNA (81 nucleotides) under Clostridia bacterium. Its description in RNAcentral is "tRNA-Leu". It matches the Rfam family "tRNA". Rfam says of the family: Transfer RNA (tRNA) molecules are approximately 80 nucleotides in length. Their secondary structure includes four short double-helical elements and three loops (D, anti-codon, and T loops). Further hydrogen bonds mediate the characteristic L-shaped molecular structure. tRNAs have two regions of fundamental functional importance: the anti-codon, which is responsible for specific mRNA codon recognition, and the 3' end, to which the tRNAs corresponding amino acid is attached (by aminoacyl-tRNA synthetases). tRNAs cope with the degeneracy of the genetic code in two manners: having more than one tRNA (with a specific anti-codon) for a particular amino acid; and 'wobble' base-pairing, i.e. permitting non-standard base-pairing at the 3rd anti-codon position. Lineage: Bacteria; Bacillati; Bacillota; Clostridia. The record is from RNAcentral.
GCAGCCGUGGCGGAAUUGGCAUACGCGCACGUUUGAGGUGCGUGUCCGAGAGGGUACGAGUUCAAAUCUCGUCGGCUGCAC